CCUACGGGUUGCACCAGUAGGGAAUCUUCGGCAAUGGACGAAAGUCUGACCGAGCAACGCCGCGUGAGUGAAGAAGGUUUUCGGAUCGUAAAACUCUGUUGGUAGAGAAGAACGUUGGUGAGAGUGGAAAGCUCAUCAAGUGACGGUAACUACCCAGAAAGGGACGGCUAACUACGUGCCAGCAGCCGCGAUAAUACGUAGGUCCCGAGCGUUGUCCGGAUUUAUUGGGCGUAAAGCGAGCGCAGGUGGUUUAUUAAGUCUGGUGUAAAAGGCAGUGGCUCAACCAUUGUAUGCAUUGGAAACUGGUAGACUUGAGUGCAGGAGAGGAGAGUGGAAUUCCAUGUGUAGAGGUGAAAUUCGUAGAUAUUCGGAGGAACACCAGUGGCGAAGGCGGCUUACUGGUCUGCAACUGACGCUGAGGCGCGAAAGCGUGGGGAGCAGGCAGGAUUAGAUACCCGAGUAGUC
Molecule: ribosomal RNA, 465 nt
Filed under: uncultured bacterium
Lineage: Bacteria
Description: bacterial SSU rRNA
Rfam family: Bacterial small subunit ribosomal RNA
Source: RNAcentral